GUGGUUGGGCUUGUGGAGGUGGUGGUGGUGAGGGGCAGGGGACGCUCUUUGAUGGGCACUGUGAUCCGCUCGCUCGCCUCUCCGUCGCUCACUCACUAAAUACAAGUGUGCCGAAAACGAUCUAAAUAAACGUUAAAAGAACAUGAUACUAAUCUUAACGUUUGAAACGAAAAAAAAAAUAUAAACCUUUUAUUAAAUCGUAUAUAAAGAGUGAACAUACAAGUGCGAGGACAGACAUAAACAGAGCAAAUACGCAAAGCCAUAUAUCAAUUAGCAACAGGUGGAGCAGCAGGUGGCAUUAAAGUGCAGGUGUGGCGAGGUAAUUGCACCACCCCACCUUUAGCGACUAAGUGACGUCGAACCUAACAAACUCAAACGUGUGUAAAAGUGGAUGUGAUAAAAGUCAUGAGAUUAGAAACCCCCUCUCACACUUACAUCCUAGUGAGGUCUUGGGUGUCUCUCUGAUGUCUUCAAUCUCACAAUGUCGAGUCCGUGGUAUUAAGAGUACGAUGAGACACAAGGGUUAUUCCAAUGAUAAAUAACUAAACGGGUUAACCUAUGACAUACAACACCACAGUAAUCAUUGAGGUUACUAUGUAGACACAGGACAAGUGAGCGGUGUUUGGUGUGGAGGAGUGAUUGUGUCGCUCUCUCCACCUCCCCUAUAUUGUUCUCCACCAUCACGUCAUGUCAUCAGCAUCAACUCAUCAAUUUAAGGAAGGAUAACAUGUCUACGGUAGCCAGCUGAUACGAGAGAGGUCCCUCAGCCUCCAGCCAGCCAUCACAGCCAUGAGGCCAAGAGGCAUGGCUGUGGGCAGAGCAAGUAGUGUAGUGAUCUUCUCCAAGUUACUCGCGGGGAGGAGGUGUAGCCAGCAGGCCACCAUGGACUGGUUCAUCGUAUGACCCUGUACUGCCGCCCGCCGCACACCAGUAUCAUGGAGUCUAAGGUUAUCAUCCCUCCUACCCUUCCUACUUUUGGGCAUCCUACAGUCUACUUCUAUCCUACAGUGUCCCCGCGGGUGGUGGUGGUGCCUAUACUCUCCUGCAUCAUCGGCUUUCCUGUGUUGGUGAUGCUGGUCAUCUGUGGCCUCAGGUACCGCGCCAAACGAGCUCGGACCUCAGCCAAGAAAGCACACAACGUGGAGUCAUCAAUCAUGGAGCUGUCGUCAGGACCCUCCAUUCUGGCCAGCCGCUGCAGUAAUGGUAAAACUCACAGACAGAAGAGAAAGAAAGCACUUGUCAGGUUUAAGCCCAUGCCGGAGAUUGAUCUGGACACUGUAGUGGAGGAGAAGUCAGAGUUCGACGCCGAAGUGACAGCCUCGGACUUGUUGACAACCCCUGAGGAGCUUAUCAUCCCUGAGGAGCCGACACCCCCGGCCUCCUUCAGGGCCUACAGGUAUAUGGGCGCCGUACAGGCAACGAUGACGUCACCCAUCAAGACAUCUCCAUACAGGAAUCCUCAUACAGCCACCAACCUGGAUAACGUCACUGAAGAAAUGGAAGUUGUUGAAGAUGUAACUCUGGAUGUUAGUGAUGAUGAAGGACUCGACGCUUAUGACGAUGAUGAUGUGACUAAUGGAAAUGCUGUAGAACGUGAAGGUAUUUCUGAUGAUAAUGAUGAGGGAGGCGAACAACCAGGCAGCGGCGGCAGCAGUGACAGUGAUACAGUUGGAGCCUGCUUUUCGUUGUCACCCAAACAAGUGACAAAGUCGCCGACCGGGGUUCAUUUAGCUCUGAAAAAACUCGACGGUGCAGUAAAAAGACGGCACUCGAGCCCCGUCAAAGUUAACUAUGGUAAGAACAAAGGCCAGCGAGGCUCAGGGAAAGUUAACCACAGUUACACCAGCGAAGAAGAGAGCCCCCAGCCUGCCAGGGCGGGCUUUGACUACAUUGACCGUGAACUGAUGCCGGAUAUAUCCCCCCGCACCCGCUCUCACUCUGUGAAGCACCCCAGCCGCCGGGCAGCGUCUUUCACCAUCAAGAAGCGCCACGGGGAAUCCUUGAAGCUCAGGAGCAAGAGUUUUUCAAGAAGUAUUUCACACGUUCAUGACGGCCAUGACGGUAGGCCCAGAGUGCACCAAAGAAAUGCUUACGGCGGUGACUCUGCCUCCACAUCACAAAUACAAAACGGUGUUCUUGAGUGUGAUGUGCACGUUGUGGGUGAAAAUGGUGCUCAGAAAAGCUCGAGUGGUGAUCAGAUUUACAGUGAUGAAAUCAGCACCAAGACCGUGUCCGACGCUGAAACUCUCUCCAGCGGGAACGAAACUGACUGGUCAGGGGCUUCUCGUAAACCCCGCGUCUCAGUACGCAGAAGUUACUCCUUGGUGGUGCGAGUAAAGAGAGACGACUCCGAGAGUCCCAUGAGAAGAAGACCACAACGCUCGAGAACUGCAUGUGGUGAAAGUGAGGCCCGAGAACUGUGCCAAGUGCCACCAAUUAUCUCGGAGGAGUCUCUCCUUCAGUGUCGCCAACCUGACUUGGUGGUGUCACCUCCUGCUAGCGCAGAUUUAAGCGUUGUGAACGAACUGUCGCUCAAACACAGACAGGAAGACGGUGAGGCGGCGAGACACUGUCACAGGUGCCGGGAGGAGGUGGACAGGGACGACGAGCGCAGUACUCUCGUUUGAUAAUGUUCCGCCACAUUUUUAUACAUGUAAAUGCUUUGCAAGAUAUGUAUUGCAUCUUACGAUAUAUUAAUACUUCCAGCUGUAUAAAGAUCAUGUUACUCGUGAUCAAACUUUCACCUUAGAUUUUACAAUGUAUCUUGGUGUUAACUGGGGGUAUCUGGUGCUUCAUAAUGCCCAACUUUAUUAGAAAUAGCAAAGCAAAAUAUAAAAAAUAAUCUUCCACUAUAUAAUGUAAAUGGUUCCUAGUUUUAUAUGAAAAGUGACGAUAAACGUGACGACUUUCUGGACGUUUUCACCUAUAUAUGUUGUCUGUCAAUUUUCUCAGCCGUCAACUUAUUUCAUUAACGCAAAUAGACGAUAUUGAACAGAGUGUAAUAUUCAAGGUGGCCCUCACUCUUAUCCUCACUACCAAGACCACUUAUCAAUUGGCUAAUUACUUUAUAUCAGGUACCAUUAUAAUUAUUAUGAUACAAUUACAUCGCCCGACACCUGCCACACAGGUGUUGGGUGAGUCACGUGGAUUCUCUCCAUUCACGUAACCUAACCUAACCAUUUCCUCCCCCACACCUCUUCUUUCCUACCUAAACCCCUCUCAUACCCCCCCACUUUCUCCCUACCCGUAAGUAAUGAAUUAAUUUCCUCUGACUUGCUGUGUGAAAUAGGUAAUGAAUCCUUAUUAAGAACAGGUAUAGACGUUUCACAAAGACCUACAGGUUUACUAAGUCUAUAUGUGUGUCUUUAUUAACGUCAUAUCCCAGCGUCUCUGUUAAAAUGAAUUCCAUAACACCUAACAUUGGGUCGUCGGAUUAUUUAUUAUGAAUUUUGUUUUUAAGAUAUUUACUGAAAUGUGGAAUGACUCAAUGGUCGGUGGAAUGACUCAAUGGUCGGUGAAAUGACGCAAUGGUAGGUGAAAUGACUCAAUGGUCGUCACUGUGAAUUAAACUUAACAAAUGGUCCUCCUCCUCAUUCCCUUCCAUUGAGGUAAAACUCUAAUUAAAAAAUUAUUCCGUAUAAUAAUAAAGUUACCCAACAAGGCAACAGUUUUACGAUAAAUUCCCAAGUUUUUAAGAAAGAGUAAAACUUAAACGAUUCAUUAAAAGUUACAUGGUAAAAAAUGUACUAUACAAGUUAUAUGGCAGAGUAAAAAGUUACAAUGUUGUGAAAAAAGACGCCUCAUAUCUGCAUCAUAUUCUUCAGUCACAUAUUUCAUGACUACAACAAACUUCAGUUCAUACCGUGUUAUUUUCCCAGAAACUCAGUCGCGUGUUGGAGAUGCAUCAGUAUGGCUUAUUAGAGGAUGAACUGAGCAAUGAAUUAUUUAAAUAAGUUCAAUCACGUACUUACUUCUUCACUAUCCAAGCACGUUAACUGACUCAUUAAAACGCUUGCAGAUUAUGAAGGCUACAUCGUUCUAAGAAUUCUUACCUGUGAGUGCUGGGAUUCGAACAAGGGACCACCAGGGGUUGACGGGUAGGCAGCUCCAUCCACUAAACCACAACGGGUUAAAAAAAGCUAUCCAUCCUUAGUUCCUCACUACACAGCCCAAGGUCUCAUGCCUACAGGUGAAAAACACUUACAUUAAUUUACCUGCGUUACACUAUAAAUUAAUUAGAAUACAUAUACACCACUGUUCCUUAAUUAAAUAUUUCACAAACAGAAUUAAUUAUCUCCCCAAUGGUGAAUAAAAUGGACUUAAACUUAAAAAAAAAAAAUUAUCUUGUCAGGUUGGAAGGAUAGAUUCCGCUUAGUUACGCCUUCUGAAUCCUCCCUCAUGCGGCCCUCCCUAGUAUCUUCCUAAAAAAAAAGUCGUCAGUUGCCUUAAUGAAUAACUUAUGUGUGUUGAUAGUGUGGAAUGAAUGAACCUGUAAUAAUGAAUCACCUCUCGGCUCUUAUCAUGAUAUCGGGACUUUUUUUUUUGUUUUUUUACAUAAUUGACACAAAUACAGAUAUAUAUUUUCAAUGUAGACUUUAAACAUGUACAUUCUAAUUGUUAAAAGAAAAUUAUAACUAAACGAUAACUAAUAUAAAUCUUACCGACUUUACCCUAUAAAAAGAACAUUUAUGGGAGUGUACAAUUGUGUCUAAAAGAUGAAUUCCUCAUUCUACAUAAACUUCUCUGUAGGGACGUAGGUAUCCAAGGCACUGCGAGCCCCAGCUGCCAAGGGUAAUAUUUUGGCCUUUAAGAAGUAUUCCUAACGGCCCCAAAAAAUAAAAUUAAAAUAAAAAAAUAAAUAAAAAAUAAAAAAUAAAUAAAAUAAAAAGGUUUACUUAAUGGUCUUUAGCAAAUUCGACCGUAAAAACAUCUACAAACUUUCCUCUCUUUGUUGACACAGUGAGAAAUAUCUACUCUGCUUGCUCAUUCUAUAUUCAGGCAUAAAAUAGCUUCAUUAGCACCGAAAUGUCUUGGGGAAAACUUAGAUGAACCGAACUACUGGUAGGGGCAGUGGGGCACGACACAGGGAGGAGACUGUCACAGAAGGUUGUGCUCAGUGCAUCAUGGUUGUAAUUAGCUCACUAAGGUUGUGCUCAGUGCAUCAUGGUUGUAAUUAGCUCACUAAGGUUGUGCUCAGUGCAUCAUGGUUGUAAUUAGCUCACUAAGGUUGUGCUCAGUGCAUCAUGGUUGUAAUUAGCUCACUAAGGUUGUGCUCAGUGCAUCAUGGUUGUAAUUAGCUCACUAAGGUUGUGCUCAGUGCAUCAUGGUUGUAAUUAGCUCACUAAGGUUGUGCUCAGUGCAUCAUAGUUGUAAUUAGCUCACUGACCUAAAUAGGAAAUUUUUUAAUCAUUGGUUAUACCCAAAAAACAACCUUUCAUUCAUUAAGGAGUAGAUUACUGUGAUUACAAACAGAAUAAAUAAAUAAUAAGACACAGAUAACGACAUAUAAGGCUUAACAUAUGGAAUACUUCUCAAAGACCUCCCUAAUGAGAUUUAUAAUCCAUUCAGUGCAAAAACAAACUAAACCGUGUACUCUGACGCGGGGUUCAACAGCGUUCAUUUGUAGGUGUUGAUGCGACUCACCAUGACCACUGUUGAAGCCUGACGCGACAGAGAACCUACACCUUGUUGUUACUGGCUUGUGUAGUACAGUAUUAUUUGUGUAUAUUUCUUAUUGCUAAAUUUAAGUGAAUUGUCUGUGUAAAAAAAAAAUAAUAAUAAUAAAAAAUCCAUUGUUUACGGUAUAUGUUUGUAUAAUAUAUUCACAGGUACAUUUGAAGGGCAUGUGUAAUAAGAAUUAUCAGGAUUAAAAUAUGAAAUAAGUA
Molecule: unclassified non-coding RNA, 5885 nt
Filed under: Homarus americanus (American lobster)
Lineage: Eukaryota; Metazoa; Arthropoda; Malacostraca; Decapoda; Nephropidae
Description: uncharacterized LOC121864550, transcript variant X5
Source: RNAcentral